Molecule: long non-coding RNA, 566 nt
Filed under: Nicotiana benthamiana
Lineage: Eukaryota; Viridiplantae; Streptophyta; Magnoliopsida; Solanales; Solanaceae
Description: long non-coding RNA (NBEN_LNC014568)
Source: RNAcentral
AGCAAAGUAUACCGGUCCAGCAUAAUAUGUUGGAGUUCGUAUACAGAUGCACCAAACUCCCAUAUAUUAUGUGGGACCGGUCUCUGUUGUAGUAAAAUAGUAGUUAUUUCUCAUUGACUUCGUAAAUGAUGGCUAUUUUUAAAUGACUAAUGCAAAACUAGCUAUAUCGUGCUAUUUUUACCUUCACCAGAUGACGUGAAAUGGACAUUUGGUCGCAACAACAGCACAGGAAAGGCACAUGGCAAUCUGAAGAGAUUUAUCUUAAUACAAAGGAUCGCAUGGAUUUCUGAUGCCACAGUGAUUUGGAUACAAAACAUGUAUUCCAGCACUUAUAUCAGUAUCAAUUUGUUCAACAAACGCAUAACCAAUACAAACACCAAAUCGAGAGUUGGAGGAGUUCGUAGGUGUUGUUUGUAUUAUGGAAGGACAAAAAUAAGCUAUGGUUUGAAAAGUACAUGGGGGGCUGAGAAAGGAAAACCAUGAAGUUUUUGUGUCAUUACAAUCAUUUUCAGGGAGAAAAAUAGUGAAACUUCUACCUUCUGAAAAGUCAAUAUGUGGAUUCUAAU